RNAcentral lists this ribosomal RNA (411 nucleotides) under uncultured bacterium. Its description in RNAcentral is "bacterial SSU rRNA". It matches the Rfam family "Bacterial small subunit ribosomal RNA", at positions 343 to 747 of the family's 1533-position model. The record is from RNAcentral.
GGGAGGCAGCAGUAGGGAAUUAUUGGGCAAUGGAGGCAACUCUGACCCAGCCAUGCCGCGUGCAGGAAGACGGCCCUCUGGGUUGUAAACUGCUUUUAAGUAGGAGGAAAGUGCAGCUUGCGAGCUGUUUUGACGUUACUACUAGAAUAAGCCACGGCUAACUACGUGCCAGCAGCCGCGGUAAUACGUAGGUGGCGAGCGUUAUCCGGAUUUAUUGGGUUUAAAGGGUGCGUAGGCGGCUUAAUAAGUCAGUGGUUAAAGGUAGCAGCUUAACUGUUUUACAUGCCAUUGAUACUGUUUAGCUUGAGUUAUCAGAAGGUAGAUGGAAUUCCUGGUGUAGCGGUGAAAAUGCUUAGAUACCAGGAGGAACACCGAUUUGCGAAGGCAUUCUACUGCAGAUAAACUGACGCU